Molecule: ribosomal RNA, 231 nt
Filed under: uncultured bacterium
Lineage: Bacteria
Description: partial 16S ribosomal RNA
Rfam family: Bacterial small subunit ribosomal RNA
Source: RNAcentral
CGGGUGCGUAACACGUGAGCAACCUACCGAAAUGAGGGGGAUAGCCGUCCCAACGGACGGGUAAUACCGCAUACGCUCUUGUCCAGGCAUUUGGAUGAGAGGAAACCUCCGGGGCAUUUCGAGGGGCUCGCGGCCUAUCAGCUAGUUGGUGAGGUAACGGCUCACCAAGGCGACGACGGGUAGCUGGUCUGAGAGGAUGGCCAGCCACAUUGGGACUGAGAUACGGCCCAG